GAUUCUGGCUCAGGAUGAACGCUAGCUACAGGCUUAACACAUGCAAGUCGAGGGGCAGCAUUGGAGUAGCAAUACUCAGAUGGCGACCGGCGCACGGGUGAGUAACACGUAUCCAACCUGCCGCUUACUCGGGGAUAGCCUUUCGAAAGAAAGAUUAAUACCCGAUGGUAUAAAGAGUCGCAUGUUCUCUUUAUUAAAGAAUUUCGGUAAGCGAUGGGGAUGCGUUCCAUUAGAUAGUUGGCGGGGGUAACGGCCCACCAAGUCUACGAUGGAUAGGGGGUUCUGAGAGGAAGGUCCCCCACAUUGGAACUGAGACACGGUCCAAACUCCUACGGGAGGCAGCAGUGAGGAAUAUUGGUCAAUGGACGAGAGUCUGAACCAGCCAAAAGUAGCGUGAAGGAUGACUGCCCUAGUGGGUUGUAAACUUCUUUUAUAAGGGAAUAAAGUGAGGGACGUGUCCCUUUUUGUAUGUACCUUAUGAAUAAGGAUCGGCUAACUCCGUGCCAGCCGCCGC
Molecule: ribosomal RNA, 514 nt
Filed under: uncultured bacterium
Lineage: Bacteria
Description: bacterial SSU rRNA
Rfam family: Bacterial small subunit ribosomal RNA
Source: RNAcentral